RNAcentral lists this ribosomal RNA (400 nucleotides) under uncultured bacterium. RNAcentral describes it as "bacterial SSU rRNA". It matches the Rfam family "Bacterial small subunit ribosomal RNA", at positions 356 to 773 of the family's 1533-position model. The record is from RNAcentral.
GGGGAAUAUUGGACAAUGGGCGAAAGCCUGAUCCAGCAAUGCCGCGUGUGUGAAGAAGGUCUUCGGAUUGUAAAGCACUUUCGACGGGGACGAUGAUGACGGUACCCGUAGAAGAAGCCCCGGCUAACUUCGUGCCAGCAGCCGCGGUAAUACGAAGGGGGCUAGCGUUGCUCGGAAUGACUGGGCGUAAAGGGCGCGUAGGCGGAUGGUACAGUCAGAUGUGAAAUUCCUGGGCUUAACCUGGGGACUGCAUUUGAUACGUAUGAUCUAGAGUGAGGAAGAGGGUCGUGGAAUUCCCAGUGUAGAGGUGAAAUUCGUAGAUAUUGGGAAGAACACCGGUGGCGAAGGCGGCGACCUGGUCCUUGACUGACGCUGAGGCGCGAAAGCGUGGGGAGCAAAC